This 300-nucleotide ribosomal RNA is filed under the name uncultured Acidocella sp. RNAcentral describes it as "bacterial SSU rRNA". It matches the Rfam family "Bacterial small subunit ribosomal RNA", at positions 114 to 429 of the family's 1533-position model. Lineage: Bacteria; Pseudomonadati; Pseudomonadota; Alphaproteobacteria; Acetobacterales; Acidocellaceae. The record is from RNAcentral.
CACGUAGGAAUCUAUCCUGGGGUGGGGGAUAACAGUGGGAAACUACUGCUAAUACCGCAUGAUACCUGAGGGUCAAAGGCGCGAGUCGCCUUGGGAGGAGCCUGCGUCUGAUUAGCUUGUUGGUGGGGUAAAGGCCUACCAAGGCGACGAUCAGUAGCUGGUCUGAGAGGAUGAUCAGCCACAUUGGGACUGAGACACGGCCCAAACUCCUACGGGAGGCAGCAGUGGGGAAUAUUGGACAAUGGGGGAAACCCUGAUCCAGCAAUGCCGCGUGUGUGAAGAAGGUCUUCGGAUUGUAAA